RNAcentral lists this ribosomal RNA (119 nucleotides) under Triticum aestivum (bread wheat). Lineage: Eukaryota; Viridiplantae; Streptophyta; Magnoliopsida; Poales; Poaceae. The record is from RNAcentral.
GGAUGCGAUCAUACCAGCACUAAAGCACCGGAUCCCAUCAGAACUCCGAAGUUAAGAGUGCUUGGGCGAGAGUAGUACUAGGAUGGGUGACCUCCUGGGAAGUCCUCGUGUUGCAUUCC